RNAcentral lists this ribosomal RNA (253 nucleotides) under uncultured bacterium. RNAcentral's name for it is "partial 16S ribosomal RNA". It matches the Rfam family "Bacterial small subunit ribosomal RNA", at positions 524 to 776 of the family's 1533-position model. The record is from RNAcentral.
UACGUAGGCAGCGAGCGUUGUUCGGAGUUACUGGGCGUAAAGGGCGUGUAGGCGGUUGUUUAAGUUUGGUGUGAAAUCUUCCGGCUCAACUGGGAGGGUGCGCCGGAUACUGGAUGACUAGAGUGCGGGAGAGGAAAGUGGAAUUCCUGGUGUAGCGGUGAAAUGCGUAGAUAUCAGGAGGAACACCGGUGGUGUAGACGGCUUUCUGGACCGUAACUGACGCUGAGACACGAAAGCGUGGGUAGCAAACAGG